UACGUAGGUGACCAGCGUUGUCCGGAUUUACUGGGCGUAAAGAGCGCGCAGGCGGUCGGUCAAGUCGAGUGUGAAAGCCCCCGGCUCAACUGGGGAGGGUCACUCGAUACUGAUCGACUUGAAGGCAGGAGAGGGAAGCGGAAUUCCCGGUGUAGUGGUGAAAUGCGUAGAUAUCGGGAGGAACACCAGCGGCGAAGGCGCCGCUCUGGGCCGUAACUGACGCUGAGGAGCGAAAGCAUGGGUAGCAAACAGG
RNAcentral lists this ribosomal RNA (253 nucleotides) under uncultured bacterium. RNAcentral describes it as "partial 16S ribosomal RNA". It matches the Rfam family "Bacterial small subunit ribosomal RNA", at positions 524 to 776 of the family's 1533-position model. The record is from RNAcentral.